This 253-nucleotide long non-coding RNA is filed under the name Mustela putorius furo (domestic ferret). Its description in RNAcentral is "lncRNA (ENSMPUG00000029180.1)". Lineage: Eukaryota; Metazoa; Chordata; Mammalia; Carnivora; Mustelidae. The record is from RNAcentral.
ACACUGGGAAACCAAAAAAUCCAUUUGACUCCCCUUACUGUGAUAUUUGCUUUAUUGCAGUGGUUUGAAACUCAGCCUAAAAUACCUCCGAGGUAGACCCAUACACAAUUUGAUGAGUCUGAAUGUAUGCAUACACAUGUGAAACUACAGUCAAGGCCUUUCUGUUUAAUGUUCCAUUUGAGAAAAAUAUCAAGGAAGUAUUUAUUCCCUCCAGUUAAAGGCCUGUGUGGUAAGCAAGAUUCUAUUAUUUAUU